Molecule: non-coding RNA, 808 nt
Organism: Monodelphis domestica (gray short-tailed opossum)
Lineage: Eukaryota; Metazoa; Chordata; Mammalia; Didelphimorphia; Didelphidae
Source: RefSeq, a predicted model, not a curated record
UUCUCAAUCUUGUACUGGAAAACACCCCAGCCACACCCAUGGCCAGAUGAGGGCAAAGGCACUGGGGCUGGUUCCCCAAUGUUGGCCCCCUGACCCAAAAGUGGCCCUUUCUGCUACCCUUCGCAAGCUCACAGACACCCUUUGGAGGGUCAUCUUUCUCCAUCCCUUCAGGCAGAAACGAGGACUGAGGAAAGAGGCCAGGGGAGUUGAGGCCUUGAGGUCAGGGAACCAGCCAGGGAAAGCUCUUGGUGAGGGCUGCUGGUGAACCCCAGUGGAUGCCAAGCCACAGGGUGCUCUACCCCAAACCGCUGACCCAUGUCAGUCAGGUGCUGUCAGGGACCAGGUAGGUUUUGACAUACCUGGCAAGGGAGCACCCAGGGGAGUGGGAAGAGCACCAGGCCUGGGGCAUGGCCACAGACACCUGCUCUACCAACGGAGCUUCAGGGAGUGAGGCAAGUGUAUGGCAAGGAGAAGCCAGGUCUGUGUGUGUGUGUGGUAUAUGUGGUGUCUAUGUGUUGUGUGUGUUAUGUGUGUGGCGUGUGUGUAGUAUGUCAGUGUGAGGGCCAUGACUCUUGUCCCCCUUUCUCACAAACCCUGGAUCCCCCCUCCUUCCCCCCCCCCAAGUGCAUUUAUCCCAACCCAGCAGAGGACUGGUAGAGGGAGUGAUUGGAUAAGGGAGUCAGUACCCAGGAGCCCCAGCCCUUCAGAGCCCACCCAGUGGGCUCUCCUCUCAUACCAACCACUCGGUCUCUGGCCCAUCAUUCAGCACAAGAGGCCCCCAACAUACAUGUAAAGCUGAGAGCCCAAC